CUAUAGAAGAAGUAUGAACCCAGGAGAUGCUAUACAGCUGAGGGUGAGAACUGGCUUUAACCCUAGACGGGAUAUAGUAACCAUCGAAACUACAUUAAUGCAGCUGCUACUAUCCACAAUAACUUUACAGUCGUUGUUGUUGAUCUUGAUGUAAGUGUGGAAGAGGGCAUGAAGACGCCAAUCAUCGGCAUCCUUAGGCUGGGUAAGAGUGCAACGGACGACACUGACUCUAGGCGUAUGUAGGAUAAGGGGACUAGACUGAAUACAACCUAAGAAGGUAUCGUCACUAUUCUCCAAGUCGUCAAACUCUUUCAACUUAGGUUCAUAUACCUGCUCCUCUAAUGGCUCGUCAACUAUACUCUCACGUUCUUCUAUAACUAGGGUUCGGUUAGGACACUUAGAAGAAAUGUGACCAAAACCAUUACAGUUGAAGCAUUGCAAAUGGGAGGAUGCCCUUCACACUUCAGGACGUUUACAUUUACUAUCCGAUGUGGGGGUAGUAUUAGAAGGAGAGGGCCCUAGAAUAGACUUAGGGGAUGGAGUAGAUGCAGAAGAGGUUGUAGUGCGGAUGUUACUACGAGUUCUAUACGGCAUCCUAGUCACUAGCUCGUAAUCCCGAACGAAAGAGUGGGUGUGGUCAAGAGUGGUGACGCCUCUAAGAACAAGCUCACGUCUAAGAUCAUCCCUUAGACAUUGUCUAAAUCUACUCAAGGUCAUGACCUCUUCCUCAAUGAGUUUCGAAUAGGUCGAUUGCU
RNAcentral lists this long non-coding RNA (755 nucleotides) under Olea europaea (common olive). RNAcentral describes it as "long non-coding RNA (OEUR_LNC000521)". The record is from RNAcentral. Lineage: Eukaryota; Viridiplantae; Streptophyta; Magnoliopsida; Lamiales; Oleaceae.